Molecule: long non-coding RNA, 1008 nt
Filed under: Citrus x clementina
Lineage: Eukaryota; Viridiplantae; Streptophyta; Magnoliopsida; Sapindales; Rutaceae
Description: Citrus clementina (C. clementina) long non-coding RNA (CCLE_LNC001524)
Source: RNAcentral
AUUAACUUUUAAGUUUUUAAAAUCACUUUUGAAUCUUUCAAAAACAAUUUUAAAUAACCUUAGUUAGCUCAAAACCUCAAAGAAACCAACAAAGAACUCAUCAUUGAAAAAAAAAAAAAAUCAUGUAGAUUGAUGUAAUUAAUACUUUAAAAUCGUAUAGUUACCAUCCAUUUGGACUUCGCUUUGCACUUGGUACAGGGAAAUGACAUUCACAUUUUAACUAAUGCUGUGUGGGUUGUGGCCCGAUGGCAUAACAAGGAAUAUUUAUUGGGCCAGGUUAUAUUUUUAUUCAAUAAAAGCUCCUAAAAUAGAUAUUUUGAUUAUUAAAGUAAAAUAAAAUAUAACCUGGCAAUUGAACUAUAAACCAUUGCAAUUGAAUCAAAAAUGUCAAUAGUCUAACUCAACAAGAAUAUUAAGAAUUGAGCCUGGCCCCCAUUGUUUUCAAUCAGAGGCCCAGGCCACAUAAAAGACGCUUAAACUAGUUUGACAAUCAAAAGAAGGUUUCUGACCAAACUGGGAUGCAACAUGCUGCUAAGCCCAUUUCUGAUUUUGAAAAUCAAAGUCGAGGAAAACAUAUUUCUCAUUUACAUUUUCUUUCCAAUUCAUCUGUUCGCCGUUGAGAGGAAUGUUGAAUUAGGAGAUAUGGAAACCCAUAUUUCGCGGACUGGUUGCUGGCCCAAACAGUUAAGAGUGUCUGUCUAGUCUUCAUGUUUGGACGCCAGCCACUCGGGGAAGCCAUGAACAAAAUCUCGCAGUCAGCUUGCAGAGUAACUAUGACUCGGAAGGAGACAUGUGGCUCAAGAUGAGCUCUCUCUUUGGCAUGGCAUCUGAGCCCUCCAAGUGAUCUGUCUCUCUUUCAUCACUGAAGUGGUUGCACAACUCUCUGUGUCCAUUGGUCCAUUGCAAAUGAUGAGAUAGUAGGGUACGAAUUACGAUGCGUUUAUUAAUUAGUAAUUGAAAUUGGUUCAAAUCAGAAAUAAAAUGAACCUAAUUAUUAUUUAUAUAUUU